CAGUUCGGAUUGGAGUCUGCAACCCGACUCCAUGAAGCUGGAUUCGCUAGUAAUCGCGCAUCAGCCACGGCGCGGUGAAUACGUUCCCGGGCCUUGUACACACCGCCCGUCAAGCCAUGGAAGCCGGGAGUGCCUGAAGUGCGUGAGCGCAAGCAGCGCCCUAAGGUAAAACCGGUGACUGGGGCUAAGUCGUAACAAGGUAGC
RNAcentral lists this ribosomal RNA (204 nucleotides) under uncultured bacterium. RNAcentral describes it as "partial 16S ribosomal RNA". It matches the Rfam family "Bacterial small subunit ribosomal RNA", at positions 1289 to 1500 of the family's 1533-position model. The record is from RNAcentral.